AAAUUGAAGAGUUUGAUCAUGGCUCAGAUUGAACGCUGGCGGCAGGCCUAACACAUGCAAGUCGAACGGUAACAGGAAGCAGCUUGCUGCUUUGCUGACGAGUGGCGGACGGGUGAGUAAUGUCUGGGAAACUGCCCGAUGGAGGGGGAUAACUACUGGAAACGGUAGCUAAUACCGCAUAACGUCGCAAGACCAAAGAGGGGGACCUUCUGGCCUCUUGCCAUCGGAUGUGCCCAGAUGGGAUUAGCUAGUAGAUGGGGUAA
This 263-nucleotide ribosomal RNA is filed under the name Escherichia coli. Its description in RNAcentral is "partial 16S ribosomal RNA". It matches the Rfam family "Bacterial small subunit ribosomal RNA", at positions 1 to 260 of the family's 1533-position model. Lineage: Bacteria; Pseudomonadati; Pseudomonadota; Gammaproteobacteria; Enterobacterales; Enterobacteriaceae. The record is from RNAcentral.